UUCAUUUAGGAUUGUUGCAUAUGC
This 24-nucleotide non-coding RNA is filed under the name Arabidopsis thaliana (thale cress). Lineage: Eukaryota; Viridiplantae; Streptophyta; Magnoliopsida; Brassicales; Brassicaceae. The record is from RNAcentral.